Molecule: long non-coding RNA, 623 nt
Organism: Oncorhynchus tshawytscha (Chinook salmon)
Lineage: Eukaryota; Metazoa; Chordata; Actinopteri; Salmoniformes; Salmonidae
Source: Ensembl
GUAGGACUCAACCACACACAGGGUCACAUGCUGUUCUGUUGUUCAGUACUAUACACACACCCUGCAGCCUCCUCUGCUGAACCGACCGUUGACAUCUGGCUAAGUGGCUGUAGAUAGUGUUCUGAUUGGAGGAGGCUGUAGAUAGUGUUCUGAUGGGAGGAGGCUGUAGAUAGUGUUCUGAUUGGAGGAGGCUGUAGAUAGUGUUCUGAUGGGAGGAGGCUGUAGAUAGUGUUCUGAUGGGAGGAGGCUGUAGAUAGUGUUCUGAUGGGAGGAGGCUGUAGAUAGUGUUCUGAUUGGAGGAGGCUGUAGAUAGUGUUCUGAUGGGAGGAGGCUGUAGAUAGUGUUCUGAUUGGAGGAGGCUGGUGGCUGUAGAUAGUGUUCUGAUGGGAGGUGGCUGUAGAUAGUGUUCUGAUGGGAGGAGGCUGUAGAUAGUGUUCUGAUUGGAGGAGGCUGUAGAUAGUGUUCUGAUGGGAGGAGGCUGUAGAUAGUGUUCUGAUGGGAGGAGGCUGUAGAUAGUGUUCUGAUGGGAGGAGGCUGUAGAUAGUGUUCUGAUUGGAGGAGGCUGUAGAUAGUGUUCUGAUGGGAGGUGGCUGGUGGCUGUAGAUAGUGUUCUGAUUGGAGGC